GAUGUCGCCAAGCGGUAAGGCAUCAGACUUUGACUCUGACAUUCGUCGGUUCGAAUCCGGCCAUC
Molecule: transfer RNA, 65 nt
Filed under: uncultured Faecousia sp.
Lineage: Bacteria; Bacillati; Bacillota; Clostridia; Eubacteriales; Oscillospiraceae
Rfam family: tRNA
About the family: Transfer RNA (tRNA) molecules are approximately 80 nucleotides in length.
Source: RNAcentral